CCACGUAAGGGGCAAGCGUUGUUCGGAAUUAUUGGGCGUAAAGGGCGUGUAGGCGGUUUUGUAAGCCUGGUGUAAAAGGUGUACGCUUAACGUACAUAGGUCGCUGGGGACUGCGAGACUAGAGUUUAGGAAGGGGAGCUGGAAUUCCAGGUGUAGGGGUGAAAUCUGUAGAUAUCUGGAAGAACACCAAUGGCGAAGGCAAGCUUCUGGCCAUAGACUGACGCUGAGGCGCGAAAGCGUGGGGAGCAAACAGGAUUAGAUACCCUGGUAGUCCACGCGGUAAACGAUGUGCACUAGGUGUUGGUGCGAAUGCAUCAGUGCCGAAGUUAACGCGAUAAGUGCACCGCCUGGGGAGUAUGCUCGCAAGGGUGAA
Molecule: ribosomal RNA, 373 nt
Filed under: uncultured bacterium
Lineage: Bacteria
Description: bacterial SSU rRNA
Rfam family: Bacterial small subunit ribosomal RNA
Source: RNAcentral